UGGGGAAUAUUGCACAAUGGGCGAAAGCCUGAUGCAGCGACGCCGCGUGGAGGAUGACGGUUUUCGGAUUGUAAACUCCUGUUAAGUGGGAAGAAAGACUGAUACCUAAUACGUAUCAGGGAUGACGGUACCACUAGAGAAAGCACCGGCAAACUUCGUGCCAGCAGCCGCGGUAAUACGAAGGGUGCAAGCGUUAUUCGGAAUUACUGGGCGUAAAGAGCGUGAAGGCGGUUUCUUAAGUCAUCUGUUAAAGAGCCUGGCUUAACUAGGCAAGUGCGGGUGAUACUGGGAGACUAGAGUACAGGAGAGAAAGGUAGAAUUCUCGGAGUAGCGGUAAAAUGCGUAGAUCUCGAGAGGAAUACCGGUUGCGAAGGCGGCCUUUUGGCCUGCUACUGACGCUAAAGCGCGAAAGCGUGGGGAGCAAACAGG
RNAcentral lists this ribosomal RNA (429 nucleotides) under uncultured bacterium. RNAcentral's name for it is "bacterial SSU rRNA". It matches the Rfam family "Bacterial small subunit ribosomal RNA", at positions 355 to 776 of the family's 1533-position model. The record is from RNAcentral.